This 492-nucleotide ribosomal RNA is filed under the name uncultured bacterium. RNAcentral's name for it is "partial 16S ribosomal RNA". It matches the Rfam family "Bacterial small subunit ribosomal RNA", at positions 29 to 507 of the family's 1533-position model. The record is from RNAcentral.
AGUGAACGCUGGCGGUAGGCCUAACACAUGCAAGUCGAACGGCAGCACAGUAAGAGCUUGCUCUUACGGGUGGCGAGUGGCGGACGGGUGAGGAAUACAUCGGAAUCUACUUUUUCGUGGGGGAUAACGUAGGGAAACUUACGCUAAUACCGCAUACUACCUACGGGUGAAAGCAGGGGAUCUUCGGACCUUGAGCGAUUGAAUGAGCCGAUGUCGGAUUAGCUAGUUGGCGGGGUAAAGGCCCACCAAGGCGACGAUCCGUAGCUGGUCUGAGAGGAUGAUCAGCCACACUGGAACUGAGACACGGUCCAGACUCCUACGGGAGGCAGCAGUGGGGAAUAUUGGACAAUGGGCGCAAGCCUGAUCCAGCCAUACCGCGUGGGUGAAGAAGGCCUUCGGGUUGUAAAGCCCUUUUGUUGGGAAAGAAAAGCAGCAGGUUAAUACCCCGCUGUUCUGACGGUACCCAAAGAAUAAGCACCGGCUAACUUCGUG